AGAACAUGGAAUUUUUAUCUAGUGUUGCUGAAUUUGAGUUGCCCUGUGUAAUUCUCCAGUCCUGCCUGGCCCUGCAGCACUCAAUUCUAAGAACUAGAAUGUCUACUAUUUAGAGAUCUACAUCUGUGAAGACUUUGUCAUCCUCUUGUGGAGGACAGAAGACGUGACAGUCUGAGCAGUCUCAAGUCUAUGACACUGUGAUGCCCUGCAGUGAUACACCAAAACCUGGAAUUCUGGGCCAAAAUAAAUUCUUUCUCUCCGACA
Molecule: long non-coding RNA, 264 nt
Organism: Peromyscus eremicus (cactus mouse)
Lineage: Eukaryota; Metazoa; Chordata; Mammalia; Rodentia; Cricetidae
Exons: 3
Source: RefSeq, a predicted model, not a curated record